Molecule: unclassified non-coding RNA, 358 nt
Filed under: soil metagenome
Description: partial contains 5.8S ribosomal RNA, internal transcribed spacer 2, and large subunit ribosomal RNA
Rfam family: 5.8S ribosomal RNA (bases 1-120)
Source: RNAcentral
GAUGAAGAACGCAGCGAAAUGCGAUAAGUAAUGUGAAUUGCAGAAUUCAGUGAAUCAUCGAAUCUUUGAACGCACAUUGCGCCCGUCAGUAUUCUGGCGGGCAUGCCUGUUCGAGCGUCAUUACGCCCCUCAAGUCCCCUGUGGACUUGGUGUUGGGGAUCGGCGAGGCUGGUUUUCCAGUACAGCCGUCCCUUAAAUUAAUUGGCGGUCUCGCCGUGGCCCUCCUCUGCGCAGUAGUAAAACACUCGCAACAGGAGCCCGGCGCGGUCCACUGCCGUAAAACCCCCCAACUUUUUAUAGUUGACCUCGAAUCAGGUAGGACUACCCGCUGAACUUAAGCAUAUCAAUAAGCGGAGGA